GCCUUCGUGGUGUAGUGGUCAGCAUGCUCGACGCGUAAUCGAGAGGUCCGUGGUUCGAUUCCCGGCGAAGGCG
This is a non-coding RNA of Stegodyphus mimosarum, 73 nucleotides long. The record is from Rfam. Lineage: Eukaryota; Metazoa; Arthropoda; Arachnida; Araneae; Eresidae.